This 535-nucleotide long non-coding RNA is filed under the name Setaria viridis. RNAcentral describes it as "long non-coding RNA (SVIR_LNC002133)". Lineage: Eukaryota; Viridiplantae; Streptophyta; Magnoliopsida; Poales; Poaceae. The record is from RNAcentral.
GGGGAGUACAUGUGUCAUCUACGAGGAAACCGGGAAAAAAUUAUUUGUUUGGCAAAACACUUCAAUCUUCACUUCUUUUGUUGGGAUCUUGAUCCUGAGGGGAUCUAAUGACAUCAUGCUUUGGUUGUCGCGUGCAAUGUCCCACAGCUAAUUAAAUGGUGCUCUUCCACUCCCCGCCCUCUGCCAAUGGCCACCAUCAUCGCCUACAAUCGAAUCUACACUAGUCUACACUAGUCAUCCUAAUUAAUUUUCGAUCCAAUAAAAGUUAAUUAAGUAUGCAAGAAUUUUGUAUAAAAAUAUACACCAAUCUUCCUAAGAGCAAGUUCAAUAAUAAAGCUAGCCCAUUAUUGUUUUUAGGCUCAUACCAUGUCAUGUAAAGGCAGCAUACAAAGAAACAACAAAUACAAUAAUCUGUCCCAACUAUUAUCUCUUCCAGAAAUGGCCUCAUGCGUGAGAGAUGAUGUCAGUGUUCGCGUACACAGCCGUUUAGCCCGUUUACAUGCACACAGUGCCUAGCCGUGUCCGUUUAAUCACC